CAUAACUGGCUCUUACAUAGCUUCUUAUGCUUUAUGAUGUACAUUUAGCUCAGCUGAGGAGCAGGCAUAUAGCAGUGAAACUUGUCACUGUAGACCUAGUUUAUCAUCUCAGACUCUUCACAAAGGACAGCUUGGAAGUAGAGAAACAUUAGUGCAUUUGUUUACAGGUCGCAGACUGCUUUCUGCUCAGGUAUGUUUUACAGGAAUGACGGCACAAUUAACAGAAUUGUUUGCAGGAAAUGGAGCAAAGCAAACAGAAAAGAGUGGCAGGGUGUUAAUUGCAACCGGAUAAUUAAAGUGAAGCAUAGUCAAGGAACAGAUAUCCUCCCAACUUUCAGCAUGAAAAUGAUGAUGGGCAGCAUCUCUGGACGUUCAGCACUGUUUAGAUAACCCUGGGAAGCUGCAGCAGGGAGAACCUCAGUGACACACAAGUCUGUGUCUGAGAGCACACAUUAUCAGAUUUCGUUGUGACUCACAGAGGUAGUGGUUAAACUCCUCUUCUCCUGGCACGACCUCCCCACUUCAAGCAUGUUUUUUUAUGGAAGAAUAUAAAUUUGUGAACUCAUGAGUUUAUAUCCAGUCAGCAAGAUGGACCACUAAACUUGAGAACACUACAGAAAAUACAAUAGACAUGAAAGCCUGAAGAGCAUAAUGGGGAGAAGGAAAGUUUUAAAAUAAUCAGAGCAAAUUGAAAGCAAGUGGUCUCGCUUUCAUCACAGGAUAUUUGAAAAUCUAACAUUGGCUUUACCAGAGGAAGGAAUGAGCUCUUUUCAACUUCAGUUGGAUCACUUGCAAGUUUCAUGGUUGAUAUAGCUAUUUCCAGGACCUGAAGCCUUGCUUUACAGGUUUGUGUUUCAAGUCAUGGAGAUAAUUGGACAACUGCACCUGCACAGUAUGGAGCGUGCUGUGUAAGCAGAGGUCUGAACACUGUCUGCAGAGACAUCUAGAUACCAGGGUGUGUGUAAGAAAAACUGCUUAAUUAUGGACACAAUAACAAACACAUCUGCAGGGAAACACAGAAUUCACUGCAAGGAGGUGUCUCUGGGAUGUAAUCUACAUACAUUAAUUGCUAGGUUGGUGUUUUAACAUUUGCGCACCACCUCUUCAGCCGCCACAUUAGGAACCCCCUCGCAUUUCAUUCUUGCACACAUGUAAUGAUUUUACAAAAUUUGAAAGAAUGUACCAUGGAUGGAAACAAGACAUGUUCCUCAAGAAAUGUUUUAUUCAACAAAACUUGCCCAACUUGAGCAUUUUCCAGAUUAUUCCCAAACAUCAGAAGCUCAGUGUUUAAAGGGACAGUCCAGUACCUAAGGAAAUAAUCAGUGUAAUCAAAUGCAAUCAUUGCUGUAGCAACAACUUCUUCCAGAUCAGUGGAGAAAAUGCUUGUUUCAAACUUGGGUCUGUAACUUAGUUGUAAACUAAAAAUCUCGUAUGAGGACUGCAUUCUCUUGAAACAGCUCUUGAAAUUUGGAAAGUUUUUUAAAGAAUCUUUUGAAUUCCAAGGAUAAGGCCUCCAUCAACCACUCCUUAAGUCUUCUAGGAGUAUGAAGAAUGAAUCUCUUUCAUCCUCUGAGAGGCUUUAUCAUGUCUGCAUAUGAUGUUGCAUGUCUGCAGAUUGAGUGAAUCCUCACUUUGAUUUUCCUUCCACAUUCUGCAGUUCUCAAAAUGCCUCACUGGGACUGCAUGCAGGUUGCUACAACACUCAGUGUGCGUGCACACACUGUUGCUAAGAGCUCUGCUAUGUGUCACUUGCCAGCAUUCUGCAAGGAAGAAAUUAAGGUGUUCAUCAUAAAAUACAUGUUUGAGCUGGGACAUAACACCAGAACAACAAAAAGAAGACUUCUUUACAUCCAGCCCCCAGCUCAGUUGGUAGCAGACAUGUUUCACUUGAUCACUGAAGCCAGCAGUGACUGAGGUCCAUUUCUGAACAGCUGUGUCCUGCAUAAAAACCAUUUCUACUUUUCAAAAGGUUUCAAUAUUAGAUGCAAAAAAAAUGGGGAUGUUGAGCAAGACAAGACUCAUCACCUACAUGAAGUAAUGGAUAAUUCCAAACGUCUUCUGAGAGGGAUCUAAGCCUUUUGAAAUCAACUUCCAAACUGUUUUGCUGAGUCAUACCUAGAGUAACAGGGAAUUUUUCCUCUGAUUUCAGAAACUAUGGAUAAUUUUGCCAUAAAUUUAUUACAGAUAAUGUGUGGAAUUCCAUUUAACUCUGCUUUUGAAAACCAGCUGUUUUUUUUACUUUGGGGUUUUAAACAAAGUGGCUUUGUAAACUAAUUGUACCUUAUGUUGAAAAACCAGUCAUUGGCUGAGUUGUUAGUGAUAUAUAUUGCUUUAAAAUUUUCCCUUGAAAAACCUAUCAGCUCUUCUAAAUAUUUUUUUUCCUAUACAAGACUCUAUUAUUUUUGUCCAAAUUUUACAGUAUUGUCCACAAUAGCCAAUAUGCCGGAAGACCUCUUUGGAAUGAACCUGUAAGCAAUUUAUUUCAUUUUGAAAAUGGGAUGUAUAGAAGGAAACUGCAGAACAGAUGGAAGAAGUGCUAUUAUAGAUUUGCAAACAGUGCAAUCAAAGGCAUAGCUAGUUAGUGCCUGGCAAGAUUUUGGCUGUUUUUUUGUCAUUUGAGAGGUCUCUUGCUAAGGAUGGAAGAAGUGCUUUUAAAAGUAAGAUUAGCACCAACAUAUAUAAAUAAUUUUUUUGUUUUGUUCUUUAUUGUCCAUUACAUCCCACUGAAGUUGGGUGCAUUGGUUGGUAACAGCAACAUGUUUAAAUACAGACAACUCAGUGAAUGGAGCCAUUCAGCAGAGACUGUUUGCCACUACUGAGGAUGGAGCUCCAAGGAACUUUGGUCUGUUUUUUCUUUGCUUUGCUAUUCCUCUGGUUGCAAACUGGGCUCAACACUUAAAUUUCAGAGGCUGAUCUUCAGAGCCUUCCUUUCUGCACUCUGGAUGGUUGGAUUUAAAUGUGGGUAAUGCAAAUGUGUAUAUGCAUAUAUCCAUAGCUAUUUAUAUUUACAAUAAAGAUGGGGGAGCUGUAUUUUAUGCUAAGACAAGACUAGCAUGCUGAAAAGAACAUGAAAAUUACUGUAACUUCAUCUUAAAGUUGUUUUAAUCUCAUUUUUAAAAGUGCUGCUGAGCUUUCAAAACUGACUCUGCUCAAUUCCUAGUCAAUAACUGUCAUAUACAAGACAGUCUACUACUGAGACAUAUUUUUACUUUCUAGUUUCCAGGUUCUUUACAGCCACUUUAGAACAAUAAAUUCAGUUGUAUUA
This is a long non-coding RNA of Melospiza melodia melodia, 3265 nucleotides long. RefSeq lists it as uncharacterized. The record is from RefSeq and is a predicted model, not a curated record. NCBI's taxonomy places the organism in Eukaryota, Metazoa, Chordata, Aves, Passeriformes, Passerellidae. The transcript has 12 exons.